GAUUUCUUCGGAACCAGUGACUUAGUGGCGGACGGGUGAGUAACACGUGAGCACCUGCCUUUCAGAGGGGGAUAACGGCUGGAAACGGUCGCUAAUACCGCAUGAUAUGGCAUCAUCAAAGAUUUAUCGCUGAAAGAUGGGCUCGCGUCUGAUUAGAUAGUUGGUGGGGUAACGGCCUACCAAGUCUGCGAUCAGUAGCCGGACUGAGAGGUUGAACGGCCACAUUGGGACUGAGAUACGGCCCAGACUCCUACGGGAGGCAGCAGUGGGGAAUAUUGCACAAUGGGGGAAACCCUGAUGCAGCAACGCCGCGGAAGGAUGAGGUUUUCGGAUUGUAAACUUCUUUUCUUAGUGACGAAACGUGACGGUAGCUAAGGAAUAAGCAUCGGCUAACUACGUGCCAGCAGCCGCGGUAAUACGUAGGAUGCAAGCGUUAUCCGGAUUUACUGGGUGUAAAGGGAGCGCAGGCGGGACUGCAAGUUGGAUGUGAAAUACCGUGGCUUAACCAGGAACUGCAUCCAAAACUGUAGUUCUUGAGUGAAGUAGAGGCAAGCGGAAUUCCGAGUGUAGCGGUGAAAUGCGUAGAUAUUCGGAGGAACACCAGUGGCGAAGGCGGCUUGCUGGGCUUUAACUGACGCUG
This 640-nucleotide ribosomal RNA is filed under the name uncultured bacterium. RNAcentral's name for it is "bacterial SSU rRNA". It matches the Rfam family "Bacterial small subunit ribosomal RNA", at positions 73 to 748 of the family's 1533-position model. The record is from RNAcentral.